Molecule: ribosomal RNA, 708 nt
Filed under: uncultured Bacilli bacterium
Lineage: Bacteria; Bacillati; Bacillota; Bacilli
Description: bacterial SSU rRNA
Rfam family: Bacterial small subunit ribosomal RNA
Source: RNAcentral
CGCACUCUCGUUUAGAUUGAAGGAGCUUGCUCCUGAUUGAUAAACAUAUGAGUGAGUGGCGGACGGGUGAGUAACACGUGGGUAACCUGCCCUAAAGUGGGGGAUAACAUUUGGAAACAGAUGCUAAUACCGCAUAAAACCUAACACCGCAUGGUGUAGGGUUGAAAGAUGGUUUCGGCUAUCACUUUAGGAUGGACCCGCGGUGCAUUAGUUAGUUGGUGAGGUAAAGGCUCACCAAGACCGUGAUGCAUAGCCGACCUGAGAGGGUAAUCGGCCACACUGGGACUGAGACACGGCCCAGACUCCUACGGGAGGCAGCAGUAGGGAAUCUUCCACAAUGGACGAAAGUCUGAUGGAGCAACGCCGCGUGAGUGAAGAAGGUUUUCGGAUCGUAAAACUCUGUUGUUGGAGAAGAAUGUAUCUGAUAGUAACUGAUCAGGUAGUGACGGUAUCCAACCAGAAAGCCACGGCUAACUACGUGCCAGCAGCCGCGGUAAUACGUAGGUGGCAAGCGUUGUCCGGAUUUAUUGGGCGUAAAGCGAGCGCAGGCGGUUUCUUAAGUCUGAUGUGAAAGCCUUCGGCUCAACCGAAGAAGUGCAUCGGAAACUGGGAAACUUGAGUGCAGAAGAGGACAGUGGAACUCCAUGUGUAGCGGUGAAAUGCGUAGAUAUAUGGAAGAACACCAGUGGCGAAGGCGGCUGUCUGGUC